UGGGGAAUUUUGCACAAUGGGGGAAACCCUGAUGCAGCGACGCCGCGUGAUUUAGAAGGCCUUCGGGUUGUAAAAAUCUUUUUUACGGGAUGAAAAUGACAGUACCGUAAGAAUAAGGUCCGGCUAAAUACGUGCCAGCAGCCGCGGUAAUACGUAGGUCCCGAGCGUUGUCCGGAUUUAUUGGGCGUAAAGCGAGCGCAGGCGGUUAGAUAAGUCUGAAGUUAAAGGCAGUGGCUCAACCAUUGUAGGCUUUGGAAACUGUUUAACUUGAGUGCAGAAGGGGAGAGUGGAAUUCCAUGUGUAGCGGUGAAAUGCGUAGAUAUAUGGAGGAACACCGGUGGCGAAAGCGGCUCUCUGGUCUGUAACUGACGCUGAGGCUCGAAAGCGUGGGGAGCGAACAGG
Molecule: ribosomal RNA, 402 nt
Filed under: Bacteroidota bacterium
Lineage: Bacteria; Pseudomonadati; Bacteroidota
Description: Bacteroidetes bacterium partial 16S ribosomal RNA
Rfam family: Bacterial small subunit ribosomal RNA
Source: RNAcentral